RNAcentral lists this ribosomal RNA (493 nucleotides) under uncultured bacterium. RNAcentral's name for it is "bacterial SSU rRNA". It matches the Rfam family "Bacterial small subunit ribosomal RNA", at positions 424 to 918 of the family's 1533-position model. The record is from RNAcentral.
UGUAAACUUCUUUUAUCUGGGACGAAAAAAGGGAAUUCUUUCUCACUUGACGGUACCAGAGGAAUAAGCACCGGCUAACUCCGUGCCAGCAGCCGCGGUAAUACGGAGGGUGCAAGCGUUAUCCGGAUUUACUGGGUUUAAAGGGUGCGUAGGUGGGUAGGUAAGUCAGUGGUGAAAUCUUCAAGCUUAACUUGGAAACUGCCAUUGAUACUAUUUAUCUUGAAUACUUUGGAGGUAAGCGGAAUAUGUCAUGUAGCGGUGAAAUGCUUAGAUAUGACAUAGAACACCAAUUGCGAAGGCAGCUUACUACACAGUGAUUGACACUGAGGCACGGAAGCGUGGGGAUCAAACAGGAUUAGAUACCCUGGUAGUCCACGCCCUAAACGAUGGAUACUCGACAUUAGCGAUACACGGUUAGUGUCUGAGCGAAAGCAUUAAGUAUCCCACCUGGGAAGUACGACCGCAAGGUUGAAACUCAAAUGAAUUGACGGAA